This 253-nucleotide ribosomal RNA is filed under the name uncultured bacterium. RNAcentral describes it as "partial 16S ribosomal RNA". It matches the Rfam family "Bacterial small subunit ribosomal RNA", at positions 524 to 776 of the family's 1533-position model. The record is from RNAcentral.
UACGGGGGGAGCAAGCGUUGUUCGGAUUUACUGGGCGUAAAGGGCGCGUAGGCGGCCAGCGCAAGUCAGUUGUGAAAUCUCCGGGCUUAACUCGGAACGGUCAACUGAUACUGCGCGGCUAGAGUGCGGAAGGGGCAACUGGAAUUCUCGGUGUAGCGGUGAAAUGCGUAGAUAUCGAGAGGAACACCUGCGGCGAAGGCGGGUUGCUGGGCCGACACUGACGCUGAUGCGCGAAAGCCAGGGAGCGAACGGG